This 96-nucleotide microRNA precursor is filed under the name Manihot esculenta (cassava). RNAcentral's name for it is "precursor microRNA miR160g". It matches the Rfam family "mir-160 microRNA precursor family". Rfam says of the family: The hairpin precursors (represented here) are predicted based on base pairing and cross-species conservation -- their extents are not known. In this case the mature sequence is excised from the 5' arm of the hairpin. Lineage: Eukaryota; Viridiplantae; Streptophyta; Magnoliopsida; Malpighiales; Euphorbiaceae. The record is from RNAcentral.
GGUUAUGCCUGGCUCCCUGUAUGCCACAAGCUAGAGUUCAAUCCCAUCAGUGGACUGGCUGUCGCCGGUGGCGUGCGAGGAGCCAAGCAUACUCUC